GUGGGGAAUAUUGGACAAUGGGGGGAACCCUGAUCCAGCCAUGCCGCGUGUGUGAAGAAGGCCUUUUGGUUGUAAAGCACUUUAAGCGAGGAGGAGGCUACCGAGAUUAAUACUCUUGGAUAGUGGACGUUACUCGCAGAAUAAGCACCGGCUAACUCUGUGCCAGCAGCCGCGGUAAUACAGAGGGUGCAAGCGUUAAUCGGAUUUACUGGGCGUAAACCGCGCGUAGGUGGCCAAUUAAGUCAAAUGUGAAAUCCCCGAGCUUAACGUGGGAAUUGCAUUCGAUACUGGUUGGCUAGAGUAUGGGAGAGGAUGGUAGAAUUCCAGGUGUAGCGGUGAAAUGCGUAGAGAUCUGGAGGAAUACCGAUGGCGAAGGCAGCCAUCUGGCCUAAUACUGACACUGAGGUGCGAAAGCAUGGGGAGCAAACAGGAUUAGAUACCCUUGUAGUCC
Molecule: ribosomal RNA, 451 nt
Filed under: uncultured bacterium
Lineage: Bacteria
Description: bacterial SSU rRNA
Rfam family: Bacterial small subunit ribosomal RNA
Source: RNAcentral